AACCUGCUUUCCCACCCUCGCCUGGGAAUGGGAGGAGAGGGGACUCUGGAGCACAUUCCUUGAGGGCUCUGGUUUUGCACAUAGUGUUAUCAAAGCCCUGCCAGAGCUCUGCUGCCUAUUGCUAGGUCUUGGAGUGAGUCAGCCCAGCAAGAGAAAACUUGUUUUUCUCUUUACAUCUCCUGCUUCAGUGUGAUCUCAGCUCACUGCAACCUCUGCCUCCUGGGUGCAAGCAAUUAUCAUGCCUCAGCCUCCUG
RNAcentral lists this long non-coding RNA (254 nucleotides) under Homo sapiens (human). RNAcentral describes it as "LHRI_LNC813.1". Lineage: Eukaryota; Metazoa; Chordata; Mammalia; Primates; Hominidae. The record is from RNAcentral.